Zingiber officinale is the source of this 173-nucleotide long non-coding RNA. RefSeq lists it as uncharacterized. The record is from RefSeq and is a predicted model, not a curated record. The transcript has 3 exons. NCBI's taxonomy places the organism in Eukaryota, Viridiplantae, Streptophyta, Magnoliopsida, Zingiberales, Zingiberaceae.
CGGCAAACUUUUGGACCUCCUCGCACUACAAGCAACUCCUUGACCCCGACAAGGUCGACGUGGUCCACCGCCUCGACAAGGAGAAAGGCCUCACCUUGGAAGAAUUUCGUCUCAUCAAGAUCCACAUGAGCAUCCAUAUUUGGAGGUUGGCUUUACAUGUCAAAGUAAGACAA